RNAcentral lists this ribosomal RNA (105 nucleotides) under uncultured bacterium. RNAcentral describes it as "partial 16S ribosomal RNA". It matches the Rfam family "Bacterial small subunit ribosomal RNA", at positions 251 to 354 of the family's 1533-position model. The record is from RNAcentral.
GUGUGAGGUAACGGCCCACCAAGGCGACGAUCAGUAGCCGGACUGAGAGGUUGGCCGGCCACAUUGGGACUGAGAUACGGCCCAGACUCCUACGGAAGGCAGCAG